Non-coding RNA from Trichonephila inaurata madagascariensis, 73 nucleotides. The record is from the annotation of a GenBank genome assembly. NCBI's taxonomy places the organism in Eukaryota, Metazoa, Arthropoda, Arachnida, Araneae, Nephilidae.
GCCCAGCCAGUAUGGUGGAUGUAACCCUCGGCUUAUAACCGAGUGGGUUCGGGUUCGAAUCCCGAGUAAGGCA